RNAcentral lists this ribosomal RNA (711 nucleotides) under Chironomidae environmental sample. RNAcentral's name for it is "LSU rRNA". It matches the Rfam family "Eukaryotic large subunit ribosomal RNA", at positions 646 to 1283 of the family's 3401-position model. Lineage: Eukaryota; Metazoa; Arthropoda; Insecta; Diptera; Chironomidae. The record is from RNAcentral.
GACCCGUCUUGAAACACGGACCAAGGAGUCUAUCUAAUGUGCGAGUAAAUGGGUAAUUAUGAAACCUAUUUGCGUAAUAAACGUAACUAUUUAAUGGGAUUACGAGACAUAUUUAAAAGUAUUCUCUUCCAUCCCGGAGUACUUUCAUCAACAUAUGCGCAAGUAUAUGGAAAGUAUAUCAUGAGCAUAUUGGAUACGACCCGAAAGAUGGUGAACUAUGCCUGAUCAGGUCGAAGUCAGGGGAAACCCUGAUGGAGGACCGAAGCAGUUCUGACGUGCAAAUCGAUUGUCAGAAUUGGGCAUAGGGGCGAAAGACCAAUCGAACCAUCUAGUAGCUGGUUCCUUCCGAAGUUUCCCUCAGGAUAGCUGGAGCAUAGAGUGAUUGUAUUGCUAACUCAUACCUGGUAAAGCGAAUGAUUAGAGGCCUUAGGAACGAAAUGUUCUUAACCUAUUCUCAAACUUUAAAUGGGUAUGUAAGUCAACAUACUUGAAUGAUGUUGACCAUUAGAUGUACAUUUCGGUGUAUGUCACGUAAGAUUGUAUGCGCCCAGUGGGCCAAGUUUUGGUAAGCAGAACUGGUGCUGCGGGAUGAACCGAACGCAUUGUUAAGGCGCCCAAAUAAACGACGCAUCAUCGAUACCAUGAAAGGUGUUGAUUGCUGAAGACAGCAGGACGGUGGACAUGGAAGUUGUCAUCCGCUAAGGAGUGUGU